GGAGAAACGAAACCUAGGGAGCGAGGGCUUCGGCGCUGUCCGUCGCCGGCGUGCGUAACGUUGACGCGUGACGCCAGCCCGGCCUUGAAGCGCGUGCGCAAUGUGGCUUUCAGGACCCUCGGGCCGCGGUCUGUCGACGUUCCGCGGCAGCGCGGCCUGGAGAAAUCUGUCUGAGGGGCGCCUGCGUGGCUCAGUUAAGCAUCUGCCUCCGGCUCAGGGCGUGAUCCUGGCGUUCUGGGAUCGAGCCCCACAUCAGGCUCCUCCGCUGGGAGCCUGCUUCUUCCACUCCCACUCCCCCUGCUUGUGUUCCCUCUCUCGCUGGCUGUCUCUUUCUCUGUCAAAUAAAUAAAUAAAAUCUUAAAAAAAAAAUCUGAGUAUAGCUUCUAACAGUAAAAAAAAAAAAAAAAGAUAAGAAAAAGGUAUUGAUGGGCAAGUGUGACUAUUAAGUAUACUCUAUGUGUAUUGUAAAUAUACUGUGGCAAACAAAUGACUAAGAAGAUACUUGUUACUUCAAGAAGCUUACAAACUAGUGGAGUAUACAGGGUUGUAAAUAAUUUAAACAAAAUAUAAGCAGAUGAAAAAAGUAUGCCAAAAGAACAGUACAAAAUAAGUGCUAAUAGAAUACAGUCUUUUGGAUAUUAUUGUAUUUAUUGUGGCAUUAGCUCACCUUUGUUUCCCAUUUUUAUCAUCAAACACUGGCUUUUUGCAGGAUGGUGGUUUCAUUGUCAGUCUUGUGUUUGACAGAUUUAGAUUCUGUUUAAAAAACUGGUGUAGAAUGCAUUGAAUAUGCUAAGUAAAUGCAGAGCUUAUGAACCAAAGGACCUAUUAAUUAACAUUGAGCCAACAAGUACUGUGUAAUACUUACAGCUCUAUCUGCUGGGAUAUAUGACUUAGGCCGACACUAGGCCAUUAAGCCAUACUUCUUUCCCUUAUAGUCCCUCUCCAGUAGACGGAUGUUUUUGAUUUCUUAGGCGGCGUUAGAACACAGAAUGUGGGGGGGACUGUUUAUAAUUUGUAUAUUCGGUGAGGAUAUUUCUUCAAUUUAAAGAUCCUCUAUCAAAGUGUGUUAUGCUUUAGUGCAAGAAGAUACAGUAUUUUAUAGUGGAGGCACGGCGCUGUCUGAGCAGAUGAGACAGGAAUCUAGUUUAGAGACAUGCCAGGUUGAACUCUAGUUCAGUUUCAGCAUUGAGCUGAAUAGAGGCUAAGCAGUCAGGUACACCACAGUUACCAAGCAGUAUGGUGAUAAGUGUUAGUUGGUGGCCUGUAAAGGUGAUUUGGUACCCCCGAAGUGCAUGUCUUAGCAAGAGUGUGAGAUCUGGAUGGAAGGUGUAUUUGGCAGUCCUUGUGGG
This 1349-nucleotide long non-coding RNA is filed under the name Ursus maritimus (polar bear). RNAcentral's name for it is "lncRNA (ENSUMAG00000017847.1)". Lineage: Eukaryota; Metazoa; Chordata; Mammalia; Carnivora; Ursidae. The record is from RNAcentral.